Molecule: ribosomal RNA, 579 nt
Filed under: Triticum aestivum (bread wheat)
Lineage: Eukaryota; Viridiplantae; Streptophyta; Magnoliopsida; Poales; Poaceae
Description: partial small subunit ribosomal RNA
Source: RNAcentral
AUGCGGUUUCCGAGGCUCUUUGUGAUUUGUGACGACCCGGCUGUUCUUGUUUCUGUGGCUGCUUUGGAUGAGGGAUGGAACAUUGCGUUCCGCCGCUCAUUCGGACCAGCUGAGGUGCAGGAAUGGGCAGACUUGAGGGAAGUAGUCCCUCUUCCUCUGUCCCUGGAUCCUGACACUGUUUCUUGGAGUCUUUCUCCUUCGGGAGGAUCCUCCGUAAGUUCCGCUUAUCAGGCGCUAUGCCGGCUGCCGGUUCUCCAGUGGUUAUCCCCAUUGUGGAAGGCGCAGAUACCCUUGAAGAUCAAGAUUUUCAUGUGGCAGCUUCUCAGAGAUCGUUUACCUUCGGGGACCGAGGUGCUGGAAUGCCAUGGUCCGGGCAAUGGCCUUUGCCCCCUUUGCCUCGUCCCGGAAACGGGAACGCACAUUUUGUUCUCGUGUGUAGCGGCACAUGCACUUUGGUGCUUUGUUUGUGAGGCUCUGGGAGCGGAGUGGGAGGCCCAUGACCUUGCAGAGUUUCUUCUUCUUUCGUUUGGGCGUGUUUGUGUUGUGGUCCCAGCAGUUUCCUUUUAUGAUUAUGGUUGA